This 779-nucleotide long non-coding RNA is filed under the name Vigna radiata. RNAcentral's name for it is "long non-coding RNA (VRAD_LNC013482)". The record is from RNAcentral. Lineage: Eukaryota; Viridiplantae; Streptophyta; Magnoliopsida; Fabales; Fabaceae.
AUCUUUAUUUUUUUCAAAAAUAUUUUCAAAAUUUAAUUUUAAAUUUUUAUUUUCUUCAAGAAUAUUUUCAAAUUCUGAAUUUAAAUUUUUAUUUUCUUCAGAAAUAUUUUCAAAAUUUAAUUUUAAACUUUUGAAAUCAAUUUUCAAGUUCUUAUGAGCUUUAUCUAAUUUUUCAGAUUCUACAAGUAAAGCAGCUUAAGUUUCAUGCAAUUCACUUUCACUAUAUUGACUAUAAUUAUCAGAAUCGCUAGAUGUACUUACUUGGCUUCCAACGUCGUCGUCUUCCACUAAACAAAUGUUUGCCUCUUCAUCAGAUUCGCUCAGAUCAGAAAUCGUUUCAUUGUCAUCGUCCCAUGCGAUGUAGGCUUUCUUUUUCUUGAAGGAUUUCUUUUCUUUAACUUUUUCACUCUUCUUUUGAUUUGGGCAGUCUGCUUUUAAGUGCCCCCUUUCUCCGAAACCAUAACAUCUAUAUUUUGAGGAGGAUUCUUGAUUUUCUUUCUUUUCGACUUUGAAUCUUCCUUUGUCUUUUGAUUUCAUGAACCUGUUGAGCCUUUUUAUCACGAGUCUCAGAUUUUCUUCCUCUUCUGAGUCUUCAUCUUCUAUUUUUGCUUUUGCUCCUUUCUACCUCAGAUUUUAAGGCUAGACUCUUUUUCUUUGUUUUUGCCAUUGCUUCUUCUUCAUCUAGUCUUCCAAGGUCAAGUUCAUGCUCUCUCAACUUUCCAAAUAAUGCCGCCAUAGUCAUUGUGUUGAGAUUUUUUGACUCGGAAAUUGCAGUCACU